AUUGAACGCUGGCGGCAGGCCUAACACAUGCAAGUCGAGCGAGCGGCGGACGGGUGAGUAAUGUCUGGGAAACCGCCUGACGGAGGGGGAUAACUACUGGAAACGGUAGCUAAUACCGCAUACCAUCAGAUGGGCCCAGAUGGGAUUAGCUAGUAGGUGGGGUAACGGCUCUCCUAGGCGACGAUCCCUAGCUGGUCUGAGAGGAUGACCAGCCACACUGGCGCUGAAGCACGGCCCAGACUCCGACGGAAGGCAGCAUGGGGGAAUAUUGCACAAUGGGCGAAAGCCUGAUGCAGCCAUGCCGCGUGUGUGAAUAAGGCCUUCGGGUUGUAAAGCACUAUCAGCGGGGAGGCGUUACCCGCAGAAGAAGCACCGGCUAACUCCGUGCCAGCAGCCGCGGUAAUAC
RNAcentral lists this ribosomal RNA (406 nucleotides) under uncultured bacterium. RNAcentral's name for it is "partial 16S ribosomal RNA". It matches the Rfam family "Bacterial small subunit ribosomal RNA", at positions 29 to 526 of the family's 1533-position model. The record is from RNAcentral.